CCUACGGGUGGCAGCAGUGAGGAAUAUUGGUCAAUGGACGAGAGUCUGAACCAGCCAAGUCGCGUGAAGGAUGACUGCCCUAUGGGUUGUAAACUUCUUUUAUAUGGGAAUAAAAUGUUCCACGUGUGGGCUUUUGUAUGUACCAUAUGAAUAAGGAUCGGCUAACUCCGUGCCAGCAGCCGCGGUAAUACGGAGGAUCCGAGCGUUAUCCGGAUUUAUUGGGUUUAAAGGGAGCGUAGGUGGAUUGUUAAGUCAGUUGUGAAAGUUUGCGGCUCAACCGUAAAAUUGCAGUUGAAACUGGCAGUCUUGAGUACAGUAGAGGUAGGCGGAAUGCGUGGUGGAGCGGUGAAAUGCUUAGAGAUCACGAAGAACUCCGAUUGCGAAGGCAGCUCACUGGACUGCAACUGACACUGAGGCUCGAAAGUGUGGGUAUCAAACAGGAUUAGAUACCCUGGUAGUC
This 460-nucleotide ribosomal RNA is filed under the name uncultured bacterium. Its description in RNAcentral is "partial 16S ribosomal RNA". It matches the Rfam family "Bacterial small subunit ribosomal RNA", at positions 338 to 795 of the family's 1533-position model. The record is from RNAcentral.